GAUGAAGAACGCAGCGAAACGCGAUAGGUAAUGUGAAUUGCAGAAUUCCGUGAAUCAUCGAGUCUUUGAACGCACAUUGCGCCCCCUGGUAUUCCGGGGGGCAUGCCUGUCCGAGCGUCAUUGCUGCCCUCAAGCACGGCUUGUGUGUUGGGCCUCCGUCCUCCUCCCGGGGGACGGGCCCGAAAGGCAGCGGCGGCACCGCGUCCGGUCCUCGAGCGUAUGGGGCUUCGUCACCCGCUCUUGUAGGCCCGGCCGGCGCUUGCCGACACAUCAAUCUUUUUUCCAGGUUGACCUCGGAUCAGGUAGGGAUACCCGCUGAACUUAAGCAUAUCAAUAAGCGGAGGA
Molecule: unclassified non-coding RNA, 345 nt
Filed under: soil metagenome
Description: partial contains 5.8S ribosomal RNA, internal transcribed spacer 2, and large subunit ribosomal RNA
Rfam family: 5.8S ribosomal RNA (bases 1-120)
Source: RNAcentral